ACGCGCAGAACCUUACCAGGUCUUGACAUCCCGCUGACCGGUAUAGAGAUAUACCUUUCCCUUCGGGGACAGCGGUGACAGGUGGUGCAUGGUUGUCGUCAGCUCGUGUCGUGAGAUGUUGGGUUAAGUCCCGCAACGAGCGCAACCCUUGAUCUUAGUUGCCAGCAUUUAGUUGGGCACUCUAAGGUGACUGCCGGUGACAAACCGGAGGAAGGUGGGGAUGACGUCAAAUCAUCAUGCCCCUUAUGACCUGGGCUACACACGUGCUACAAUGGAUGGUACAAAGGGCUGCAAGACCGCGAGGUUUAGCCAAUCCCAUAAAACCAUUCUCAGUUCGGAUUGCAGGCUGCAACUCGCCUGCAUGAAGCUGGAAUCGCUAGUAAUCGCGGAUCAGCAUGCCGCGGUGAAUACGUUCCCGGGCCUUGCACUCACCGCCCGU
This 439-nucleotide ribosomal RNA is filed under the name uncultured bacterium. Its description in RNAcentral is "bacterial SSU rRNA". It matches the Rfam family "Bacterial small subunit ribosomal RNA", at positions 959 to 1397 of the family's 1533-position model. The record is from RNAcentral.